Molecule: long non-coding RNA, 81 nt
Organism: Eurytemora carolleeae
Lineage: Eukaryota; Metazoa; Arthropoda; Copepoda; Calanoida; Temoridae
Exons: 3
Source: RefSeq, a predicted model, not a curated record
CAAAGUUUUGAUUUACAAGUAGCUAAAACGACCAAGCUUAUAUUUGCUUGAUUCACUUCUAAAAGAGAAUAAGAAUGUCCU